CCGCCAGAAUACUACUAGCUAACCACUUAAAACUCAAGGGAUUUGACGGCGUCUCACCUGCCUAGAGGAGCCUGUUCCAUAAUCGAUACUCCGCGAUACACCUAACCACUUUUUGCUUAAUCAGUCUGUAUACCUCCGUCGCAAGUUCACCAUAUGAAUGCUAAUCAGUGGGCAAAAAGGUUACCACACCAAUACGUCAGGUCAAGGUGCAACCCACAAAGUGGAAAGAAUGGGCUACAAUUUCUAAACUAGAACACACGAAUAUCUUAUGAAAAAAUGAUUGAAGGCGGAUUUAGUAGUAAGGAGAAAUAAAACAUUCCCCUUAACCAACAAUGASUACCG
Molecule: ribosomal RNA, 342 nt
Filed under: Arthroleptis sylvaticus (forest screeching frog)
Lineage: Eukaryota; Metazoa; Chordata; Amphibia; Anura; Arthroleptidae
Description: partial 12S ribosomal RNA
Rfam family: Bacterial small subunit ribosomal RNA
Source: RNAcentral